AAAAAAAAAAAAAAAAAAAGAGGAAAGUAAACAAAUUGCAGGUUGGCCAGAGACUUCUGGAAAUCAGGAUUAUCUGGAGGAAUAGGAGGAGAGCAGGCUCAGGCUGAACCUGGUGGCUGUCUGUAUGUGGCUGCAGUACUGUUUGGGAAGGACAGAACUGGGUGUCCUGUGGCUCUGGGAUCAGAGCCAAGUCUGGAGAGAGAUUCUUAAAGGUGGAGAGAGAUGUUCUGACAAUCCUGUGAUGGAUACCUCUUCCUGCAAACGUCAAUAGUCAUGCUGAGGUUGGUGUGAAAACGAAGAAUCCCCAGUCAAGGAACUGGAGGUGAUAGAACCAUGAGGCUGGCAAGCCAGUGGCCAGUGAGCCAGCAUGUUAGACUGGGAAGAAGUUUUGACAUCACCCAGCUUGACAGCCUUGUUUAUGUGCAGCCCGUGAUGUUCUCAUGCUCCCAUCCGUCAUAGAUAAGAUGACCUUGGGUUAUGCAAAAUUCCCAGUGCACUCCACAUAACCCCAUCCCUGUCUUUCCUACUUAGGAAGGCAAUGUGAAUUUAAGCGACUGGAAUUAAUCUUAUUGUAGAAACAACCUUGACUUUUUUCUGAUUCAUGCGAAAUAGCACAUCACUCAUGAGUUUCAGAUCAAUGAUCAGUGACAGGUUACCACACGCAACGCUCCUCAUACCUAAUUGUCACAUACGUGUUUCUCAUCCAACCCUUUCAUUUCACAAUGGGGAAAUUGAGGCCUAGAGAAGGGAAAGAGCCAUAGUCAAGUGCGUAUGAGAGGUGUGAGGUAGGAGCCAAGUCUCCUAACUCCAAACGAUGGCUCUUUCUCUAACUGAGAGCCACUAGCUGUCAACUUAGAUUUUGGUUGGUGGCAGCAAGGGAUAGGCUGGUGAGAGGAAGAAGGAAACAAAGGAAAAGAAAGGUGUGAACCUGCCGUGUUUCAUCCUAGUGACAUCACCAAGGAGAUGCCUGCGUCCAACAAACCUAGCAUUCUCCAGAGCCCCGUGCCUGACCAGUGCUUGGAGGCUGGAAUGAGGCUGUGAGGCUCCAGCAGCCGUUUUGUGCCACGAGGCAGUAGAAACCUGGGUUCCUGAUGACUGUGGAGCUGCCGAACUAAUCUGGACCUCCAGAUUCCAUACCUGCAAGACACAUGAACAUCUGUCUUAUGCCGUGGAAACAGAAAUCUAGUGGAGGAUUCUGAUCCCUAGGGAAUGUAGGGCCACUGGACCCAAUUGCCCUAUAAUCUUGUGUGGUAUUUCCCUGCCCCUGCUCAACUUCAUUGGAUGGUAAUGUUACAUUUGUUAAGCCACUAAGGUUUUGGGGGUUGUUUAUUAGGCAGUUGUCUAGCCUGAUAACACAAGCCUGAAAGAAGGGCAUUCUUAUCCCUAUUUUUCCCUGGGGGAAAUGGGCUCAGAGAUACUAAGUAACUUGCUAAAGUCACACAGCAAGUAAGUGGCAAAUCCAGAUUUGAGCUCAGGUUAUGUCUUUUCCACUAACCCAGGCUAACAGGAUGAUUGUUCCUGCUUAGGUAUUGCCUUGGUCUUUGUUUCUUGAGGAGUCACAGAAAGAAAGACACAGACCAGGACUGGGAGGUAGGGAAGGAGGGAGCAGCUGGGGGGCAGGUGUGUAGUGGUGCAUCAUAGCAGCAAAGGGAGGUAAAGGUUCUAGGAAGGGGUGGUCAAUUGUGUCUAAUGAGAUCCAGCCAGGUGGAGGAGGAAGAGGGCUGGGAAGAGCCCAUUAAAUUUAAUGACCUCAGUGACAGUUUUAUCUGAGUGAUGGGGCAGAUGCCAGCUUGCAGAAGGUUUGGGAACAAGUCAGUGAUUAUGUUGGUUAAGGGAAGGAGAGAGGAAAAAAAGAGAGAUAGCUUUAAGUGGAAGCCAGGCCAAAGGAAAGCAUUUUGAGAAGGAAAUCAGUGGUUAGGGAGAGGUUAAAAAUAAGAAAGGGAAUCAUGACCUACAUAAUGCAAGGCAUCUGAAUGUGAUGAUUUCCUCCUUUAGGCUUGGUUCUGGUGUGCAUUUCCAGGGCUAAGCUGACUGGCCAGGAAGCAGGGAGCAAAGGGGGUUGGACACAGCCAGCAAAUCACGCAGCAUUAACUGGGCUGCGAGGCCGGAUCCUGAGUGGGCAAGCAGGUGGCAGCUGAAGUAUUGUGAAUCGAGAGCCUGAAAUUCUUCAGGAUCUUCUAAGAUUAUCCAUUUGAUUGGGUCAUGGAAUUAAUGUGGAUAAGCCUAGUUGAUCAACCUGAGUAGAGGGUGCUGUCACCUGCACAACACCUACCACAACUUCCUAGAACCUAGUGGCCGAGCUUGUUAAGUGUCCCCAAAUGCCCAUUCUCUCCUUCCUUUUAGUCAAGGAGCCAUGAAUUUUAGGGAAGAACAUGAUCAUUUAGCUCAGGACCACAGUUCCCAGACUCCCUGCAGCUGGAUGUGGAUGUCUACUCAGUUCUUGCUAAAACGAUGUGUGCAAUUUCCAGAGCACAUCCUUAUAUGGAAGUUAUUUGCAGUGAACAUUGUCUGUUUCCUCCUUUCAAUGAGGUGGAACUGGAAGUGCUGGAGAUGAGCUGCUGUGGCUGUAUGGACAAAGGCAAGAUCCUAUGGGAUGGCCAAGCAACCAGACAGAAGAACUCUUGAGACCUUGAGGAAAAGAACUGCCCGCAACUGCUCUUGACACUCUCUCCCUCUGGCCUGUUGUGUGGGAGAGAAAUAAA
This 2702-nucleotide long non-coding RNA is filed under the name Homo sapiens (human). Its description in RNAcentral is "HSALNT0291348". Lineage: Eukaryota; Metazoa; Chordata; Mammalia; Primates; Hominidae. The record is from RNAcentral.